AACGGAGCUUAAAGAGCUUGCUUUUUAAGCUUAGUGGCGAACGGGUGAGUAACGCGUGAGUAACCUGCCCUAGAGUGGGGGACAACAGUUGGAAACGACUGCUAAUACCGCAUAAGCCCACGGCUCGGCAUCGAGCAGAGGGAAAAGGAGCAAUCCGCUUUGAGAUGGCCUCGCGUCUGAUUAGCUGGUUGGUGAGGUAACGGCCCACCAAGGCGACGAUCAGUAGCCGGACUGAGAGGUUGACCGGCCACAUUGGGACUGAGAUACGGCCCAGACUCC
RNAcentral lists this ribosomal RNA (279 nucleotides) under uncultured Oscillospiraceae bacterium. Its description in RNAcentral is "partial 16S ribosomal RNA". It matches the Rfam family "Bacterial small subunit ribosomal RNA", at positions 65 to 339 of the family's 1533-position model. The record is from RNAcentral. Lineage: Bacteria; Bacillati; Bacillota; Clostridia; Eubacteriales; Oscillospiraceae.